GAGAAAAGAUGGUACUCCUCAGGCAGGAUGCAGGAGUGGGGGUAGAAGUUGUACUCCCCAGGCAGGAUGCAGGAGUGGGGGUAGAAGUUGUACUCCUCAGGCAGGAUCCAGGAGCGGGGAUAGAAGUUGUACUCCCCAGGUAGGAUCCAGGAGCAGUGGUAGAAGUUGUACUCCCCAGGCAGGAUGCAGGAGUGGGGGUAGAAGUUGUACUCCCCAGGUAGGGUCCAGGAGUGGGGGUAGAAGUUGUACUCCCCAGGUAGGAUGCAGGAGCGGGGGUAGAAGUUGUACUCCUCAGGUAGGAUCCAGGAGUGGGGGUAGAAGUUGUACUCCCCAGGCAGGAUGCAGGAGCGGGGGUAGAAGUUGUACUCCCCAGGUAGGGUCCAGGAGCGGGGGUAGAAGUUGUACUCCUCAGGUAGGAUCCAGGAGUGGGGGUAGAAGUUGUACUCCUCAGGUAGGAUCCAGGAGUGGGGGUAGAAGUUGUACUCCCCAGGCAGGAUCCAGGAGCGGUGGUAGAAGUUGUACUCCCCAGGUAGGAUCCAGGAGCGGUGGUACUCCUCAGGUAGGAUCCAGGAGUGGGGGUAGAAGUUGUACUCCCCAGGCAGGAUGCAGGAGUGGGGGUAGAGGUUGUACUCCCCAAGCAGGAUGCAGGAGUGGGGGUAGAAGUUGUACUCCCCAGGCAGGAUCCAGGAGCGGGGGUAGAAGUUGUACUCCUCAGGCAGGAUCCAGGAGCGGGGGUAGAAGUUGUACUCCUCAGGUAGGAUCCAGGAGUGGGGGUAGAAGUUGUACUCCUCAGGUAGGAUCCAGGAGCGGUGGUAGAAAUUGUACUCCUCAGGUAGGAUUCAGGAGCGGUGGUACUCCUCAGGUAGGAUCCAGGAGCGGGGGUAGAAGUUGUACUCCUCAGGUAGGAUUCAGGAGCGGUGGUAGAAGUUGUACUCCUCAGGUAGGAUUCAGGAGCGGUGGUACUCCCUAGGUAGGAUCCAGGAGCGGGGGUAGAAUUUGUACUCCUCAGGGAACAGCUCCUGCAUGGUCCUCACCGCUCGGCUCAGGUUGAUCUUUC
This is a long non-coding RNA of Oncorhynchus tshawytscha (Chinook salmon), 1057 nucleotides long. Lineage: Eukaryota; Metazoa; Chordata; Actinopteri; Salmoniformes; Salmonidae. The record is from Ensembl.